UACAGAGGGUGCAAGCGUUGUUCGGAAUUAUUGGGCGUAAAGAGCUCGUAGGCGGUGUGUCGCGUCGGCCGUGAAAACCUGCAGCUUAACUGUGGGCUUGCGGUCGAUACGGGCAUCACUGGAGUUCGGCAGGGGAGACUGGAAUUCCUGGUGUAGCGGUGAAAUGCGCAGAUAUCGGGAGGAACACCAAUGGCGAAGGCAGCUCGCUGGGACGGUACUGACGCUGAGACGCGAAAGCGUGGGGAGCAAACAGG
Molecule: ribosomal RNA, 254 nt
Filed under: uncultured bacterium
Lineage: Bacteria
Description: partial 16S ribosomal RNA
Rfam family: Bacterial small subunit ribosomal RNA
Source: RNAcentral